AAACAGCAUUCAUCUUCUUGCAAUCAGAGGUCUAAGGAAUAAAAUAAUUGGAAUUUCAAAACGGAAGUGCUUGUAUUUCCAUAGUCCUUUCCUUCGGGACGUCCCAAAGUGGCUUACAGUUAAGGUUGGAUACUAAUGAUGAUUUCUGUGCUGCCACCUCCUCGGCUGAGUCGAAGGAUAACUCCUGGUGCAUUGGACUGUCCUGUGGCGUUAUUGUUUCCAGUCUGUAGUAUUCUGCACCUGUGAGAAAACUAGGACACAAUUCAUUUGAAUGGCUGAAAGCAAGCAAUUCUGUGUGGUACUUCGGUUGAUACCAACAUGACACAUCCCGUUAAGACUGUUAGAAGAAAGAAAAAAAGGAGAGAGAAAACAGGGAAUGGGAACUAUAACUAACAUCAGCAAUAUGGAAAUUGUUGGAAUCUGGUAUCAGCAAUGUGAUAACAAGAGCUGGCCACCUUCUGGAUAAUUGGAGCAAUGUUUGUUGGUCCAUAAAGCUGGAUUUUUGGAAGGCACUUCUGAUAGGCUUCAACAACUCCCUGUAUACCUUGGAA
Molecule: long non-coding RNA, 551 nt
Organism: Pristis pectinata (smalltooth sawfish)
Lineage: Eukaryota; Metazoa; Chordata; Chondrichthyes; Rhinopristiformes; Pristidae
Exons: 6
Source: RefSeq, a predicted model, not a curated record